This 311-nucleotide ribosomal RNA is filed under the name uncultured bacterium. RNAcentral describes it as "bacterial SSU rRNA". It matches the Rfam family "Bacterial small subunit ribosomal RNA", at positions 28 to 342 of the family's 1533-position model. The record is from RNAcentral.
GAUUAACGCUGGCGGCGUGCAUGAAACAUGCAAGUCGAGCGCGAUGCGAGCUUGCUCGCAUCUAGCGGCGCACGGGUGAGUAACACGUGAGCAACCUACCUCGGAGCCCGGGAUAGCCUGAGAAAUCAGGAUUAAUACCGGAUGAUGUCGCCGUGGGGCAUCCCAUGGCGAAGAAAGGCUUCGGCCACUCCAAGACGGCUCGCGGCCUANAGCUUGUUGGUGGGGUAAUGGGCCUACCAAGGCGAAGAUGGGUAGCUGGUCUGAGAGGACGAUCAGCCACACUGGGACUGAGACACGGCCCAGACUCCUAC